This 253-nucleotide ribosomal RNA is filed under the name uncultured bacterium. RNAcentral's name for it is "partial 16S ribosomal RNA". It matches the Rfam family "Bacterial small subunit ribosomal RNA", at positions 524 to 776 of the family's 1533-position model. The record is from RNAcentral.
UACGUAGGGUGCGAGCGUUGUCCGGAAUUAUUGGGCGUAAAGAGCUCGUAGGCGGUCUGUUACGUCCGCUGUGAAAACCCAGGGCUUAACCCUGGGCUUGCAGUGGAUACGGGUAGACUAGAGGCAGGUAGGGGAGAAUGGAAUUCCCGGUGUAGCGGUGAAAUGCGCAGAUAUCGGGAGGAACACCGGUGGCGAAGGCGGUUCUCUGGGCCUGACCUGACGCUGAGGAGCGAAAGCGUGGGGAGCGAACAGG